CGUUGCGUCAAAAUCAAUCCUGAAUGGUGUUGCGAUCUCGCCCGAUCUCAAAGGCUAAGCAGUUUUGAGCCUGGUUAGUAAUUUGUUGGAAGAUUUCAUGGAAAUACCAGCCGUUGGAGGCU
Molecule: ribosomal RNA, 122 nt
Filed under: Petromyzon marinus (sea lamprey)
Lineage: Eukaryota; Metazoa; Chordata; Hyperoartia; Petromyzontiformes; Petromyzontidae
Source: RNAcentral